CUCCGGUUGAUCCUGCCGGACCCGACUGCUAUCAGAGUGGGACUAAGCCAUGCGAGUCAACGUAGCAAUACGUGGCAUACGGCUCAGUAACACGUAGUCAACAUGCCCAGGGGACGAGGAUAACCUCGGGAAACUGAGGAUAAACCUCGAUAGGCCAUGAUUUCUGGAAUGAUUCUUGGCUCAAACCUAUAUGGCCCCUGGAUUGGACUGCGGCCGAUCAGGCUGUUGGUGAGGUAAUGGCCCACCAAACCUAUUACCGGUACGGGCUCUGAGAGGAGGAGCCCGGAGAUGGGCACUGAGACAAGGGCCCAGGCCCUAUGGGGCGCAGCAGGCGCGAAACCUCUGCAAUAGGCGAAAGCUUGACAGGGUUACUCUGAGUGAUUUCCGCUAAGGGAAUCUUUUGGCACCUCUAAAAAUGGUGCAGAAUAAGGGGUGGGCAAGUCUGGUGUCAGCCGCCGCGGUAAUACCAGCACCCCGAGUGGUCGGGACGAUUAUUGGGCCUAAAGCAUCCGUAGCCGGUCCUGCAAGUCUUCCGUUAAAUCCAGCUGCUCAACAGAUGGGCUGCGGGAGAUACUACAGGGCUAGGAGGCGGGAGAGGCAAGCGGUACUUUAUGGGUAGGGGUAAAAUCCGCUGAUCCAUAGAAGACCACCAGUGGCGAAGGCGGCUUGCCAGAACGCGCUCGACGGUGAGGGAUGAAAGCUGGGGGAGCAAACCGGAUUAGAUACCCGAGUAGUCCCAGCUGUAAACGAUGCAGACUCGGUGAUGGGUUGGCCUCGCGCCUGCCCAGUGCCGCAGGGAAGCCGUUAAGUCUGCCGCCUGGGGAGUACGGUCGCAAGACUGAAACUUAAAGGAAUUGGCGGGGGAGCA
RNAcentral lists this ribosomal RNA (868 nucleotides) under uncultured archaeon. Its description in RNAcentral is "bacterial SSU rRNA". It matches the Rfam family "Archaeal small subunit ribosomal RNA", at positions 1 to 878 of the family's 1478-position model. The record is from RNAcentral.